GGAUUGUGGCUCAUUGGUAGAGCACUCGCCUAGCACGUGUGAGGCCCUGGGUUCAAUCCUAAGCACCA
Molecule: transfer RNA, 68 nt
Filed under: Marmota monax (woodchuck)
Lineage: Eukaryota; Metazoa; Chordata; Mammalia; Rodentia; Sciuridae
Description: tRNA.Ala
Source: RNAcentral